UUCGCGGUGUGUGGUUGGGCCUGGGCUCCGCUCCUGGCGGCGGUGGUGGCUGCCCGUUGCCGUCGCAGCUAUAGGGGUGGGGCUUUCUUCGCCGUUGCUACUUCCACUCCACCCGGCGUUUGAGGUGGGGGAGCUCCUUGUUCCCUACGCUGAGGGCCUGCGGGGCGGUAGGAGGUGUCGCCAGGCCUGGAGCUGCGGACCAGCUUCUGCAGGCGUCGCUCACGGAAGUAAAGCGGAGUGACGCCGUGAGCCGCGGCGAAGCGUGCUGCAGCCCCAGAGUGACGCGUCAGUUAGUUAGCUGGAGCUGUCGUGCGCUACCGCAAGUGGCAUUUACCAGCUGUGAAUCAGAGUGUACCCUAGGGUCUGGAGCAGAACACUGAAAGAUGUAAAACAGUUCAAGUCUUCACUGUCAUAUUGUGUUAAGCACCUGUACAGAUCUGGGGACAGAAUUUUCUAAAGAGUCUAGGGAAGCUGUUGCUCCAGAUUGCUGGUUCCCAGAAGCCAAAUAAGGGAGCCCCUCUAAUGACGUUAGUAGGUUUCAGGAUGGAUCCAACAGCAGCUGGACUUCCAAGACUUUCAUGCUUCUCGAUGGAUACGGGGGGAUGACCACACCUUGAUGAAGGAGAAAGGAUGAGCUCUCUCACCAUCAGCUAGGCUACCUGCCAUGUCAACAUCCACAACCAUCUCAGAGCAUGGAGGCAGACAGAAAACAUGGAGGAGAAACAGUCUAAGCUUUACAUCAGACAUGCCCCAAGAUGAUGGCCAGCAUUGAUUGAGUAGUAAAUUAUUACCCCCUUGAAGCAAUGAGGAAACGAUGUAUAUGUUUUGUCCCUGAGGUGUGUCUCUAGGACAUAGUGCCUUCUGUGACUCCCACUCCCAUAAUGAAGGUUAAAAACCAACCUUUGCUUAGGGCUGUGCCCAAAGGUAUAGUCUACCUUUGGGAAGCAGAUUCAGGCUUUUAUUUCUGGCCUUCUGUAUGUAGUCAGCCAAGAUAAGUAGUGUGGGAGAGUGUAUGUAUCAGUGGAGGCCCUGUCCUCUGUUGUAGUCAUGCUAGGCAAAGGCUGACUAGUAUUCAGAUAUUACUGAAUCAGCUUUGCAUCAUUGUACUUGGUUGUGGGUGAAACGUUGAGGCUUCUGGGGCUCUAGUUUCACAGAAAUGCAGAUGACGUCAUAGUUUUGUUGCUGCUUUUGCUUUCCCAGAGGUGAGCUGAGCUUUCAAUUUCAAUGAGGCAGACAACCAAUGCAAAAUGAUAGUGAGCAGAUCAGGCUGCAGAAAACUUUCCGUUUAUAAGACUUAUUCUGUAAGAGAUUGUAUGUUCAUUAAAGCAGUCAUGAUUUGGGCGAUGGUCUUUCGAUCCUGCUCUGCUUCCUGUAUGUAUGUGGUUGUGGAAGCUAUAUGUAUUUUCAUGUCUAGACUUUUCCAAUAUUCUCUCAGAUUUGAAUUUGGCUGCUAAUGCACAUGUAGUAGUAUAUCUCAGGGCCAUUAUACAGUGCUGUUGGUUUCUACAUAACACGUAGGAAAUGCUUCUAGGAGUGUUUCAUUGACUCUGUAUGUGGCCAAAUAAAGCUCUAAGAUAAUGUGAAUACAUCUACCAGUACUAUUUGUUACUUAGGAUAUUCAGUAAAUAUUACUUGUUUGCCAUAAUUUUCUACAAGGCUUCUGUGCUGUAUUCCUACAUUAUAUGAAUUUUACAGUGCAAUAUGUCUGCCUUAAACUAGGAAGUAUGUAUAGACUUCUCACUUGCUUCAACACUCAUUUCAUCCUGCUAAUUCUGUAGUUCAAGGCUACUGGGUGGCUCGGGGCAGUGUCCUGGUUUUGGCAGGGACAGAGUUAAUUUUCUUCCUAGCAUAGAAUCAUAGAAUGGUUUGGGUUGGAUGGGGCCUCCAAGAUCAUCUAGUUCCACCCGCCCUGACACGGGCAGGGACACCCUCCACUAGACCAGGCUGUCCAAAGCCCCAUC
Long non-coding RNA from Grus americana (Whooping crane), 1961 nucleotides. RefSeq lists it as uncharacterized. The record is from RefSeq and is a predicted model, not a curated record. Lineage: Eukaryota; Metazoa; Chordata; Aves; Gruiformes; Gruidae. The transcript has 5 exons.